AUUGUGAUGAGACUGGUGAUAGGAUUAAGGGUGAAAUUCCUAGUAUUAACACCUAUAUGUGAGAUUAUUGUGAUGAGACUUGGCUAUAGGAUUUAGGGCGAAAUUCCAAGUAUAAAUGCCGAUUGUUGAGAUUAUUGUGAUGAGACUUGGUGAUAGGAUUUAGGGAGAAAUUCCAAGUAUAAAAACGCCGAUUGUUGAGAUUAUUGUGAUGAGACUUGGUGAUAGGAUUUAGGGCAAAAUUCCAAUUAUAAAUGCCGAUUGUUGCGAUAGAGAUAAGUGUUUGAAUAUUUUUCUGAUAAGGUAUUCUGCAAUUGUUCUAUGUAUUUUGUAAUUGGUAUAUGUAUCAUGUCACGCAAGGAGGAUUUGGAGAGGAUAUUUGAGUUACAGGAUGUCUUAGACAUUUUGCAGUACCUGGGGAGAGCUAUUAUAUACUGUACUCUGUACCAACUUCUGCCUACAAUUGUAUUACUAAAGGAGUAUUUUAGUACUUAACCUGUCUAGGAACCUGGGACGUUUGCGUCCCGCCCUAGUCAACAGCCAGUGGAAUCGCGUCGCGCGAAAUACAAAUACCUCAUAAAUGCUAUAACUUCAAUUUCUCAAACAUAUGACUCUUUUACACCAUUUUAUAGAUACACCUCUCCUGAAUCGGACCACGUUGUCCGAUUUCAAAAAGGCUUUACAGCAAAAGCAAAACAUUAGAUUAUGUUAGGAGAGUACCAAAAAUAAUCACACUGCCAUUUUCAAAGCAACUAGCAUGCAUCACAAAUACCAAAACCACAGCUAAAUGCAGCACUAACCUUUGACAAUCUUCAUCAGAUGACACUCCUAGGACAUUAUGUUACACAAUACAUGCAUUUUUUGUUCGAUAAAGUUCAUAUUUAUAUAUAAAAACAGCAUUUUACAUCGGCGCGUGACGUUCAGAAAAUAUUUUCCCUCAAAUGCUUCCGAUGAAUUAGCGCUACAAUUUACUAAAUUACUAUUCGAAAACAUUGUUAAAAUGUAAUAUUGUCAUUCAAAGAAUUAUAGAUGAACAUCUCGUGAAUGCAACCGCAUUGCCAGAUUUAAAAAUAACUUUACUGGGAAAUCACACUUUGCAAUAAACGAGGUGCUAUGCUCAGAAAAAUAGGCUAGGUAAUACAGGUUAGCGCCAUCUUGGAACCAUCUAAAAUCAAAUAUACUAUUGUAAAUAUUCUCUUACCUUUGAUUAUCUUCAUCAGAAGGCACUUCCAGGAAUCCCAGGUCCACAACAAAUGUAGUUUUGUUCGAAAAAGUUAAUAAUUUAUGUCCCAAUAGCUCCUUCUUGUUAGCGCGUUCCGAAGGCUACUCAUAAUGUACGAGGCGCGCGGGACUUGUCCUGACGAAUGUGCAAAAAAAUAUAUUUAUGUUCGUUCAAACAUGUCAAACGUUGUAUAACAUAAAUCGUUAGGGCCUUUUUCAAUCAGAGCUUCAAUAAUAUUCAAGGCGGACGAUUGCAUUGUCUUACUAAACGUUUUGGAACGAAAGGGUACCCACGGGCGCCCGCAUCAUAGUAGUAAUGGCCCUCCCCCAUGACCAACUUUCCAGGCCUCUCGUUCGGUCAGUUUUUACCGGAGAAGACUCAAACCACUUUGUAAAGACUGUUGACAUCUAGUGGAAGCCUUAGGAAGUGCUAAAUGAAUCCUAACUCACGGUGUGUUUCAUAGGCAAAGUGUUGAAGGUGAUUCCACAAAUCAGAUUUCCACUUCCUGCAUGGAAUCUUCUCAGGUUUCAUCCUGCCAUAUGAGUUCUGUUAUACUCACAGACACCAUUCAAACAGUUUUAGAAACUUUAGAGUGUUUUCUAUCCAAAUCUACUAAUUAUAUGCAUAUUCUAGUUACUGGGCAGGAGUAGUAACCAUAUUAAAUCGGGUACGUUUUUUAUCCGGGCUGUGCAAAUACUGCCCCCUAGCCCCAACAGGUUUUAAACAAAGAGUCUGUUUCCUUACCAUUACUAAUUUCUGAGUAUGGUAAUUAAAUAGUCCUGAUCAUUUGUUGAAGAAAUUGACCUACAGGCGCUUGGAUUGGAAUCUAAGGAAAUUGAUUCCAAACUAUUGGAACAUAAGGAAAGUUGUUCGAAGGUUACUUAUUCUAAGGUUAAUUGUCUCCUGAAUUUAAAUCUAAGGAAAUUGAUUCCGGAUUAUUGGAACAUAAGGGCAUUUGUUCCAGGGCUAGGAAGCCUAAGGUUUAUUGGCUCCUGAUGUGGAAUCUAAGGAAAUUGAUUCCGGAUUGUUGAAACACAAGGACAUUUGUUCCAGGUAGGCUGUUUGGUAUGCCUUUGGUAGACCAUUUGGUAGAUGGCAUUGUUGCCCACUUGUUAGGCCUUUGGUAGAGCUCUUGGUAGGCCUGUUGUUAGGGCGCUUGGUAGGCUGUUUGUUAAGCCUUUGGUAGAAUGGCAUGGUAGGCGGUUUGUUAAAACUGCAUGGUAGACCACUUAGUAGGUCGUUUGGUAAGCGGAUUGGUAAGCCAUUUGGUAGUCUGUUUGGUAGACCAUUUAGUAGUCCUAAUUAUUGGACCAUAAGGACAUAUGUUCCAGGGUUAAUAAGCCUAAGGUACAUUUGGGUCCUGAAUUGCAAUCUAAGAAAAUUUAUUCUGGAUAUUUGGAACAUGAGGACAUUUGUUCCAGGGUUAGGAAGCCUAACACGGAACCCAAACCGGCUGCGCGCGUGCGCCAUCGUGCACCAUCGUGCAUAAAUGUAUUUUGUCCCCCCACACCAAACACGAUCACGACACGCAGCUUAAAAUAUCAAAACAAACUCUGAACCAAUUACAUUAAUUUGGGGACAGUUAAUUGGCUCCUGAAUUGGAAUCUACAGAAAUUGAUUCCAGAUUGAUUAUUGUUCCAGGGUUAGGAAGCCUAAGGUUAAUUGGCUCCUGAAUUUGAAUCUAAGGAAAUUGAUGGUAGGCUUUUGGUAGGCCAUUUGGUUCUUUUUCUUUAAUUUUCUUCUUCUUCUCCUUCUUCUUCUUCUUCUUGAAAGCCAAAUUGAGGAGUGGGGCCACUGCUCCUUCUUCUUCUUCUGUUUCUGUUUCUUCUUUUAUAAUUUUUCUUCUUCAUCUUCUUCUUCUACCAAACGGAAGGCCCUUUGGUAGGCUGUUUGAUAGGUUGCUUGAUAGUAUGUUUGGUAGGCCUUUGGUAGGCUGAUUGGUAGGGUUUUGGUAGACAGUUUGGUAUGCCUUUGGUAGUCUGUUUAGUAGAGGCAGAAUGAUGCCACCCCUUCUUCUUCAUCAUCAUCUUCUUCUUCUGUUUCUUCUUUUUUUACUUUUUCUCUUUUUUUCCUAUUUUUCUUCUUUCUCUUCUUUUUUUUGUUUUUCUUCUUCUUCUUCUUAAACGUAUUUGUCUAAGAGAGUCCAAUGUCUAAGAGAGUCCAUUGCUCGCUGCGUCCAGAAAGGGUGUCCUUUGCGCAGGUCACUGUUGAAUAAACCCUGGAUGAAUACUAAACAGUGUUCUCAGCUCCAAGAGGUAGUUUUUCUACAACAAUUUUGGAGCCGUGACCCGGAUGGAAGGGAGAUGAACACCUGACUGACCGUCCUGACCAGAACCUAGACAUCUCUUCAGUAUACCACAAAUAGAGGUAAAGGAACCUUUCAAAAGAUAGUCUGUUGUUCGGUCGGGCGGGGCGGAUUAGGCUCUUCCUCUCUCCAUCCAACUAUUGAGGUAAAAUUCUCUUGAUUGUUAAAUGCAUUCUUAGAUAUAUAAACAUAUAUAUGAACUGGUUCAUCAGGUAGGCAGCCUAAGGUUAUUUGGCUUUUGAAUUGGAAUCUAAGAACAUUUAUUCUGGAGUAUUGGAACAUAAGGACAUUUGUUCCAGGAUUAGGAAGCCUAAGGUUAAUUGGCUCCUGAGUUGGAAUCUAAGGAAAUUGAUUCUGGAGUAUUGGAACAUAAGGACAUUUGUUCCAGGGUUAGGAAGCCUAAAGUUAAUUGGCUUCUGAAUUGAAAUCUAAGGAAAUUGAUUCUGUAUAUUUGGAACAUAAGUACAUUUGUUCCAGGGUUAGGAAGCUGAACAUUUAUUGGCUCCUACAUGGGAAUGUAAGGAAAUGUAUUCAGGAUUAUAUGACAUUUGAAGGUUAGAGUAAGUAGGCUGAUAGCAGAGAGCCAAUAGAAUGGGUAAAACAAAAUGAAGAAUAUAUGUGUUCUGAAAGAAAGAUAGUAACUGUUAUUAAUAGUGAUAUUCCCAUAUGGACUGAUAAUCAAUGCCUACACUUGAUAGUUAGGAAUAAUGGGGGGGAAAAAAAUAGUUCCUCCAGGAUACCAUCCGACACCCCAGCGGGAAAAAUACAGGCUGCGUUAGGAAACGCCAAUACAGAUGUACGUACAGUGGUCCAAACGCACGGAUAAAACAUUUCCCGCAUGGCCAGCUAAAGGGUCUGUAAGAGAGAAAGAUAUAACAGCCUUAAAGAAACACAAUGCAGAUACUAAAGGCUACACAUCUCCGGACUACUUAUCAGUAGAUCAAUUCAGUGCAAAAGGUGAACAAAAUAAAUGUCAGCGAAGGGAAGAUAAACUGAGAUAGGAACUAAACCUACAGAAAAAUAUAGACGCAGUGACAAAAAUGUGUCAGGCUCUCAGCUCUUCACCCAUAGCGACCCCCCUGACUAUUCUCCCCCAGCAACAGAGGAUCUCGUUCCAAUAGGAAUCCAUUUCUACACCAAGCUCAGCUCCAGUCCCACGAGGCAGCAUGAUGUCUACCCAAACCUAGAGCUACUAAAAUAUCCCAAGCCCACCCCCCACCCCUAAAAAAAAAGAUCCCCAGCCAAACUAUGACGGCAUUCAGAACUCAUAUGAACAACUCAAUGAACAGCUGGAAGAAGUUACAACACAAAUAGGCAGCACUAAAAAGACACCCAGACCGUGUAAUACUAGAUCUAGCAAAUCCCCACGAGGAAAAGCUCUCAACACCCAUAGAGAAUAGUACCAGUUGUCACAGCUGUCUGGCAAGCAGAUGAAACUUAUAUAGAUGAAGUACGGGAGAGAUUAGUUCACCAUCCAGUCGCCCUUUCUGAGUUAAUGGGUUUUAAACAAAACAUGCCCCUGCUCCGUGACGGAGCUGCCAAAUGGUUUGAACGGGCAAACGACAUUCUCACCGUAUACAGGUGUAACAAGGGGGGCAUGGAACAUGUAUUUAGGACAUAAACAAGCUGCUGAGCUAGUUGUUCUCACUGGAGCCUGUACUCUCUCCCAAGACAAAAUUGCACACAUUGCUUGGAGAAGUCUAUCAAUAUUUUGGUAUGAUUUGGAAGGAGAGAGUUUUCCUUACCAGUUCAGCGUAAAAACAAAGUAACAAACGCACAGUAUAUUGGGCAAUUACUAGAAAGCAUCCAGUUACCCAGAGAACUGGCUAUAAUAAAUGUGAAGCUCACAGCUCUGAUCAGGAUGUUGUUUCAUUAGGUAACGUAUUGAUGCAGCAGCCUAAGCAGCUUCCUGCGUUCCUCUAAGGGUUUCCAGAUGGUCUGUAACUCUCCUCCUGAUCUAACCACUCUUGAUGGCGUUGCACACAUGCAAUCUGACACCCCAUGAAAGGGUACAGUGGCAUUGGAUGGAGGCGGGUUACAAACUACGUGAUGAUGGUCUCUGGCGUCACCAGAGCGGCCGCCAGGUGGCGCCACCAACAUUGUUGCCCUAUCUUGUACUCAUGUUUCACAGAAUUACUCAUGUGUCCAAAACGGGGAUGGUAAGAUUAUGCAAUCAAGAAUGGUUUGCAUCAAAACGUUUGUCAUUAGCAGCACAGAUUUGUGCAAACUGUUUAAUAUGUCUUCCCUGUGGCUCAGUUGGUAGAGCAUGGUGUUUGCAACGCCAGCAUGGUGUGUGCAACACCAGGGUUGUGGGUAAUUGUAAAUGUAAUAUGCCAAAAGCAUAAAACAGUAAAACCAACCACUCGAUUGACUUUGCCAAACCCAUGGGGCCCAUUUGUAAAUAUUCUGAUUGAUAUUGUACAUAAUCAAAUCAAAUUCAAAUUUAUUUUUUAUAUAGCCCUUCGUACAUCAGCUGAUAUUCUCAAAGUGCUGUACAGAAACCCAGCCUAAAACCCCAAACAGCAAGCAAAGCAUGUGAAAGAAGCACGGUGGCUAGGAAAAACUCCCUAGGAAAAACUCCCUAGAAAGGUCAAAAACCUAGGAAGAAACCUAGAGAGGAACCAGGCUAUGAGGGGUGGCCAGUCCUCUUCUGGCUGUGCAGGGUGGAUAUUAUAACAGAACAUGGUCAAAAUGUUAAAAUGUUAAAAUGUCUCCUACUUCCUGGAAAAAUGAAAUACAUGUUAGUUGUAAUAGACACCUAUUCUAAAUGAGGUGGAAGCAUUCUCCUUUAGCAAUGAGGAAGCAAAAAAAUUGUUGUCAAGUGUUUGAUGAAAGACAUUAUUCCCUCGAUUUGUAAUUCUUUGGUGCAACAUUUGCGCACUCCUUACACUGUUAUCUCAAUGAG
This 6429-nucleotide long non-coding RNA is filed under the name Salmo salar (Atlantic salmon). RNAcentral describes it as "lncRNA (ENSSSAG00000108634.1)". The record is from RNAcentral. Lineage: Eukaryota; Metazoa; Chordata; Actinopteri; Salmoniformes; Salmonidae.